GAUGAACGCUGGCGGCGUGCUUAACACAUGCAAGUCGAACGGUAAGGCCCUUCGGGGUACACGAGUGGCGAACGGGUGAGUAACACGUGGGUGAUCUGCCCUGCACUUCGGGAUAAGCCUGGGAAACUGGGUCUAAUACCGGAUAGGACCACUGCCUGCAUGGGUGGUGGUGGAAAGCUUUUGCGGUGUGGGAUGGGCCCGCGGCCUAUCAGCUUGUUGGUGGGGUGAUGGCCUACCAAGGCGACGACGGGUAGCCGGCCUGAGAGGGUGACCGGCCACACUGGGACUGAGAUACGGCCCAGACUCCUACGGGGGGCAGCAGUGGGGAAUAUUGCACAAUGGGCGCAAGCCUGAUGCAGCGACGCCGCGUGAGGGAUGACGGCCUUCGGGUUGUAAACCUCUUUCAGCACCGACGAAGCGCAAGUGACGGUAGGUGCAGAAGAAGGACCGGCCAACUACGUGCCAGCAGCCACCGUAA
RNAcentral lists this ribosomal RNA (478 nucleotides) under uncultured bacterium. RNAcentral describes it as "partial 16S ribosomal RNA". It matches the Rfam family "Bacterial small subunit ribosomal RNA", at positions 28 to 523 of the family's 1533-position model. The record is from RNAcentral.